RNAcentral lists this ribosomal RNA (504 nucleotides) under uncultured bacterium. RNAcentral's name for it is "bacterial SSU rRNA". It matches the Rfam family "Bacterial small subunit ribosomal RNA", at positions 9 to 526 of the family's 1533-position model. The record is from RNAcentral.
GAGUUUGAUCCUGGCUCAGGACGAACGCUGGCGGCGCGCCUAACACAUGCAAGUCGAACGAGCGAGAGAGAGCUUGCUUUCUCAAGCGAGUGGCGAACGGGUGAGUAACGCGUGAGGAACCUGCCUCAAAGAGGGGGACAACAGUUGGAAACGACUGCUAAUACCGCAUAAGCCCACGGCUCGGCAUCGAGCAGAGGGAAAAGGAGCAAUCCGCUUUGAGAUGGCCUCGCGUCCGAUUAGCUGGUUGGUGAGGUAACGGCCCACCAAGGCGACGAUCAGUAGCCGGCCUGAGAGGGUGAACGGCCACAUUGGGACUGAGACACGGCCCAAACUCCUACGGGAGGCAGCAGUGGGGAAUAUUGCACAAUGGGGGAAACCCUGAUGCAGCAACGCCGCGUGAGUGAAGAAGUAUCUCGGUAUGUAAACUUCUAUCAGCAGGGAAGAUAGUGACGGUACCUGACUAAGAAGCCCCGGCUAACUACGUGCCAGCCGCCGCGGUAAUAC